GACGAACGCUGGCGGCGUGCUUAACACAUGCAAGUCGAACGGAAAGGCCCUGCUUUUGUGGGGUGCUCGAGUGGCGAACGGGUGAGUAACACGUGAGUAACCUGCCCUUGACUUUGGGAUAACUCCAGGAAACUGGGGCUAUUACCGGAUAGGAGCUCCUGCGGCAUGGUGGGGGUUGGAAAGUGUCGGCGGUUUGGGCUGGACGCGCGGCUUAUCAGCUUGUUGGGCGGGGAGUGGCUUACCAAGGGUUUGACGGGUAGCCGGCCUGGGAGAGUGACCGGCCACCUUGGGACUAAGAGACGGCCCAGACUGCUACGGGAGGCAGCAGUGGGGAAUAUUGCACAGUGGGCGGAAGCCUGAUGCAGCGACCCCGCGUGCGGGAUGACGGCCUUCGGGGUGUAAACCGCUUUCGCCUGUGACGAAGCGUGAGUGACGGUAAUGGGUAAAGAAGCACCGGCUAACUACGUG
This 468-nucleotide ribosomal RNA is filed under the name uncultured bacterium. Its description in RNAcentral is "partial 16S ribosomal RNA". It matches the Rfam family "Bacterial small subunit ribosomal RNA", at positions 28 to 507 of the family's 1533-position model. The record is from RNAcentral.